RNAcentral lists this non-coding RNA (31 nucleotides) under Mus musculus (house mouse). Lineage: Eukaryota; Metazoa; Chordata; Mammalia; Rodentia; Muridae. The record is from RNAcentral.
UGGAAACUAGAACAUGUGGGACAGAUUUUCC